AAAUAUAGAAAAUCGAAAAUAUGCCUAGAAGUUCUAAUUUAGACAACCCAGAAAAAAUAUCUGGAAAUUUAUCAACAAUUAAAGAAGGUAAAAAUGAUGAUAUUGAUAUGCAAGCAUUAGAAUCAAUUUAUAUAGAUAAAUUACCAAACAAAGCUAAAAUAACUCCUUUAUCAUAUGAAGAUAAUGAAGAAAAUAUUAUUUCUUUAUAUAGGGAAAAGAAUCCUAAUGAUCCCUUUCAUUUUUUUAGAUUUAGAAUGACAAAAAAUAUGAUUGAUUU
Gordionus sp. m RMFG-2023 is the source of this 277-nucleotide long non-coding RNA. RefSeq lists it as uncharacterized. The transcript is spliced from 3 exons. The record is from RefSeq and is a predicted model, not a curated record. Lineage: Eukaryota; Metazoa; Nematomorpha; Gordioida; Chordodea; Parachordodidae.